Molecule: long non-coding RNA, 8067 nt
Filed under: Xyrichtys novacula (pearly razorfish)
Lineage: Eukaryota; Metazoa; Chordata; Actinopteri; Labriformes; Labridae
Source: RNAcentral
UAGUGGAGCAGACAAAUGCAUAAUAUAGCCCGAAUUGUUCACUUUGUUAUACAAGCAUGAAAUUUGGUACAUAUACUCUUCAAACCCCACUCUUUUCAAAAAUAACGUUAGCCACGCAAAAUUCCAAGAUGGCGGCCCCAAAAUCCAAGAUGUCCGCCCCAAAAAGGUGGUUUUUCCUUUAUAACUCAAAAUGCCUUGAUUUUAAGCCCCAUACAUAUAUUGAAGUUGAAUAUAAAGUUGGGUAUUGCGGACAUGUUGGUACCUAGUACAUUUCUGUAUCCAUUACGGUUCUUGACAUACAGCAUAUAGAUACAGAUAUAGAAUUGGGAGAGUGAGAAAUUUGUAACACCAAUUGUUGUUACGUGCAUAUGGUUGUAUGAAAAUAUCAUUUUCAUUAUCUGUUAUUUUCAUGAGGGUUAUAACAUUAAAUAUGAAAACCAAGAUGGUGUCCAAGAUGGCUGCCAUUGCCUUGAAGUAAUCCGAUCUUAGUGACUAUGAAACAUUAACUUUUUGCAUGCACAUAUUUUUGGUCUAUGCAUCCAAUGGGGCCAUUGCAGUACAGAAUUUAGAUGUUUAUACAGUACAAGCUUGCAGAUGUAAUAGAGUGAAUAUCGGCACACAACCAGGGCACACUGGUGAUAUCACUGCUGUGUAACUCAGCAUGACCUCCAGGAGUUCUUUCAGCAUGAGAACCAGUCCUUCCCUGUUGCAUUGAGCAUGGGUGGAAAAUUGUACACUUGCCAGAAGUCUCAGCUGACCCCUAUCCUUGAGAAUUAUGUCCCACCAGUUGACAAGGAACCUGAGGCAGACAUUCUCAUUGUAGAUGGGUCAGCUUUGGACCACGCUCUGCCACCAAAAAGAUCCAAGACUUUUGAGGACUAUGCAGCUCUCGACUUCCUACCUGUGAUCUACAUGUACUCCAGCAAGUACACAAUGACACAUCUGGUCUUUGAUGUGUAAAACCCAUCGAGCCUUAAAGCUGAGACCAGGUCCAAACGUGGCCAGGGGGGAAGACGCAAAGUAACAAAUAAGAACACCAUGCUAUCUAACUGGCAUAACUUCCUGAGGCACAAUGACAACAAAACAGAGUUGUCCCACCCUUGCCGACAAGGUAACACAAAUGUUUGCCCUAAAUACCAUCAUCUUCACAAAGGGACCUGCUGUCCUCAGCACUCGUGCAACUGGUCUUGAUGGACUGGAUAAAUGCUCUCACAAGGAAGCGGACAGCGGCAUCUUCGUGCAUGCCAAACAUGCAACUGGAAGCCAAUCCAUCAUGAUCAAUGCAAAUGACACAGAUGUUCUGAUCUUAGUAAUAAGUGUAUUCAGCGGUCUCCAAGAGGCUGGCCUACAGCAUAUGUGGCUUGCAUUUGGGCAAGGUCAGACUCUGCGCUGGAUCAGUGUGCAUGACAUAUUUCAGCAUGUUGGCCAGGAGAAGGUAAAAGGCAUGCUCUUCUUCCAUGCCUUUACAGGAUGUGACACUGUGUCUGCCUUCCGCAACAAAAGCAAGAAAAUGGCUUGGCAUACAUGGGACAUAUGUCCAGAAUCCUUGCCUGUAUUCGCCAAACUGGGUAUUUACCCUCCCACAGUGGAGGACUGCGACAUAGAGGAGAAGACAGCCUCCAUGUGGCCUCCCCUGCAAGUAGCCAGAGAGUAGUUGCCCUUUAAGCAAAACAAAUGUCUUCGAAAUGUCCAACAACCAAUGUCCAAUAACAAAAAUCAGAAAAUUGUCACAAAAUGCCUAAUUUUUAACCUUUUAUGACAAGUUUCAUCCUUCUGAAUUCAUGAUUCAUCUCUGCUGAAUUCAUGAUUACUUCAAGGCAAUGGCAGCCAUCUUGGACACCAUCUUGGUUUUCAUAUUUAAUGUUAUACCCAACCCUCAUGAAAAUAACAGAUAAUGGAAAUGAUAUUUUCAUACAACCAUAUGCACGUAAAAACAAUCGGUGUUACAAAUUUCUCACUCUCCCAAUUCUGUACAAGUAUCUAUAUGCUGUAUCUCAAGAACCGUAAUAGAUACAGAGAUGUACUAGGUACCAAAAUGUCCGCAAUACCCAACUUUAUAUUCAACUUCAAUAUAUGUAUGGGGCUUAAAAUCAAGUCAUUUUGAGUUAUAAAGGAAAAACCACAUUUUGGGGCAGACAUAUUGGAUUUUGCGACAGUCAUCUUGGAAUUUUGCGUGGCUAACGUUAUUUUUGAAAAGAGUGGGGUUUGAAUAGUAUAUGUACCAAAUUUCAUGCUUGUAUAACAAAGUGAACGAUUAGGAUUUUAAUGACUGGUAGGAUUUUAAUGACUGGUAAUUUUAAUUUACACAUUGACAAUACCUCUGACCCAGUCUCUAGAGAAUUUUUAAACCUUUUAAAUUGCUUUGAUUUUCAGCAGCAUGUGACACAGCUGACCCACAGCAGGGGGCACACGCACACUCUGUUGUGGAUCUGGCCGUGUCUGACCAUUUCUGUGUGUUUUUUAAAAUCAGCAGUUUUAACCAGAGGGGGAGCCCAGUCAGAACGGUGAGGAAACGCUACCUAACUUCGGAAAAGGCUACAAAUUUUAUUCUCAUCCUACAGAACACCUCCACAAAUUUUACCAGCACCCUGUGUUUUUAUCGUUGACAAUUUUAACAAAAAUCUUAAAUCAACACUGGAUUCAGUUGCUCCACUUUUAACCAAAACCAUUAAGAAAAAAGCAAGACCACCAUGGAGAAACAAGAAUAUCAAGCAGCUCAAAUAUAGUUGCAGGAGUGCUGAAACGAGAUGGAGGAAGUCAAAAUUAACUGUCCAUCUCAAAAUUUUUAAACAACAUCUCAAAACCUUCAAUAGCACAGUCAAACAGGCAAGAACUUCCCACUACAAAAAACUAAUUGCUGACAAUAAACAUAAACCAAAUUUCUUUUCACAACAAUUGAUCUUUUAACAAACAAUUUUAACAGAACCCCUGGCUCUGACACCCUCUGUGAGGAUUUUGCAGACCACUUCACAAGUUAAAUCAACAACAUCAGAUCCAGUCUUUCAUCUCAACAGAUUUUAACUACCAACAUACAUGGAUCACUGCUUUUAGCUGAGGAAAUACUGGAGAGUUUUGCACUGGUUGAUGCGCAGACACUUGGUCGAGUUUUCUCCCAAGUAAACCCUACAACCUGCCUUUUAGAUCCAAUUCCCACACAGUUUUUAAAGACAGUUUUAUGGUUUCUAUGAGGAACAGCUUUUAAACAUUGUAAAUUGCUCUCUUUAGACUGGGGUCUUCCCCCACCUCCUUUAAAACGGUGCUGGUUAGGCCUCUUCUGAAGAAGAGCAAUCUGGACCACAACAUUUUUAACAAUUACUGACCUGUAUCCAACUUACCAUUUUUAAGUGAGAUCCUGAAAAAAAUUGUUCUUCAACGAGUAAAUGACUUAGUAAAUACAAAGAGCAUUUUAGAGAAGUGCCAUUUAGGUUUUAGGAGGGACCACAGUACUAAGACUGUAGCGUGCUGGUGUGUUUUGAGGACCCAGAAGCAGACACAGAGGCAGAUAUCAACUUAGUAUGUAAUUUCAAUGUCCAAACUCAGGUUUUAAAGGCAAAAGAGGAAGUCUGGUAGGCUGGCUGUCGUGUGGGCUGGAGACACUGCGGGGAAAACAGAGGAGAGAGAAGUGAGUAGACAUACAAAAAAAAUCACGAGGAGCAGAGUUACGAGUACUUAUUCCAAAAGGAGGCCAGGAGACGCGUCUGUACCACUUGGGAGUGAAGACAAUACUCAGGCACUGAGACUGAGGGCUGCUGGCCUCUUAAAGUGCCUUGAUUGAAGAUGAAGAGCAGGUGUGUAGUCUCACUCAGCCUCAGCGACCAGGGGAGGGGAGGAAGCUCUGGAAGAGAGUAAAGCCAGACCAGGCAAACACGGAAAAACCGGAAGUCCAGCCAAAAUAAAACAAAAGGAGGAGGCGUCUCACCACACUAUCAGAGGAAGAGUGAAGGAAGAAACUAAGAAAGUUCUUGGUAAAUAAGUAUAAGAUGGUUCUUGUCAAGGACAUUGAUUAUAUGUUGAAAAAGAAUGAUUCAGGAGGCCAGGGUCAGCCAAUGAUGCAAGGGGGGAAGGCAAAAGAAACAUCAUAGUAUGGUUUUUGGGCACCACAGUUGCGUGAGUAAAUUGAUUAUGUCAUAAGUAGAUGCACAAUCUGUCUAAAAAUAAUGGUCCAAAAGGUAUAAUAGUUGAAGUUUGUCCAACCAAGCGGAAGGACGCUCAGUCUGUUGCCAAGGUCUUGUGUAGAGAAGUCAUAAGCAGAUGGAGAAUUCCAUAUCACAUAUCCCUUGAUAAUGGAGAAGAGUUUGUGGAUAAAACGGUGCGAUUGAAUUUACAAUAAACUAGGAAUUAAACAACGUUUGGGAGCUGUGUACCAUCCGCAAAGCCAAGGUAUCUGUGAAAAAAUAAAUUGGGUGUUGAAAAACCCUCUGGGUAAGACUGGCCAGCACACAGGUUUGAUGUCAUAAAGGGGUAGUAUUACUUAGAAAAAGAAUAAACAUGUCAAACAAACAAAAAAUGUAUGUUUUUUGCAAGAUACUGCUUCAUUUUUCUUUUCUCAGGAUUGCAGUUGGGGAGACCAGCCACUCCCAGGACAGCAGAUGGGGGGACCAGCUAAAGAAAGCUUGUUCUCCAAAGAUCUAAACAGCUUUAACGGACCCACACAUCCCAACAAGGACAAUCAAGCAUGGACAAUGAAAACAGAAACUGAAACCGGACAGAAAAUGGGAACAAGGACAUUGCAUUGAAUACCCAGACAUAGGAAACCCAUGUAGUGGAGCAGACAAAUGCAUAAUAUAGCCCGAAUCGUUCACUUUCUUAUACAAGCAUGAAAUUUGGUACAUAUACUCUUCAAACCCCACUCUUUUCAAAAAUAACGUUAGCCACGCAAAAUUCCAAGAUGGCGGCCCCAAAAUCCAAGAUGUCCGCCCCAAAAAGGUGGUUUUUCCUUUAUAACUCAAAAUGCCUUGAUUUUAAGCCCCAUACAUAUAUUGAAGUUGAAUAUAAAGUUGUGUAUUGCGGGCAUUUUGGUACCUAGUACAUCUCUGUAUCCAUUACGGUUCUUGAGAUACAGCAUACAGAUACUUGUACAGAAUUGGGAGAGGGAGAAAUUUGUAACACCGAUUGUUGUUACGUGCAUAUGGUUAUAUGAAAAUAUAAUUUCCAUUAUCUAUUAUUUUGAUGAGGGUUAUAACAUUAAAUUUGAAAAACAAGAUGGUGUCCGAUUAUUUCCUUAUCUGCUCAGCUAAUGGAAAGAACACUAUACAAGUAACCAAGGACGUUCGGGAGCAACAAUUAUUAUUCAUUUAUCUAACAGUGGAGUUUUGUUAGUGUGUAAUCUGUGAUAUAAUUGUUUAUUUAUCUCUUUGUGUUGUAUUUUAAUGUACAUGUCAAUACCAGACAGUAUAGGAAGAAUGAAAAGUAUGAAAGGGUGGUUAGUGAUUCAAAGCUUAAAUUGUAGAGUGAAUGUAUUGGGAUCUCAGGUAUUUUCUUUGUUUUCUCGAUUUUAGGAUCAGUGGUGUUAGGCAGGGAUAGGUCCACUGGAAGGUACGAUGGGACGACCAGCCUGACUUUGGAUAAUUUUUAAACUUUUAUUUUUUGAGAUUCCCAAGAAUAUUUGCUUCACAUUGUGGUUUCACAUAAAGUCGAACCCCUACUUUUCAAUUGGCUUGGAAUACAAUAGGUGGUCACCUAGGGCAGAGGGACCGUGAGUGACUUUUUCCUAUCUAGAUUGUUUGAUGGAUAAUAAUGGAAAGGUUUUUGCUCUCACACUCCAAAAAUUUUGUAGUAAAUUGAAAUUGUGAAAAUGUAUUUCCUUUUUUCGAGACUCUAUGGAGUCUCGAAAGGGGGAAAUAUGUGGUAUCUGGAGUACUACCAUACAAGGAUCUGAGGCAUUGCUCAGGAAUAGCCUGAGCUGACCAAUAGUGGAAUGAGGGCUUGUGUCUUUUUGUGUCUCUUUUAUGGUACCUGGGUCGGAUAUCCUGGAAGCUGCAGUUUUGCAGGUCACAGGACACAGGUCACAGUUCUAGGCUAAAUAAAAAAAUCAGAUGGUAACAAAGAUACCUUGGGAGAUGUAGGAGGACCUACAUCACUGACCCUAUAUAACAGGAGCCCAAACUCUGGUUUGGAAGAGCUGGACAUCAUUGGCAGUCCUCUCCCAGCAACUGCAGUGCUGUUCUGAUACUGGUUUUGUCUUUAUAAUAAACUCCUCUUAUACAAGCAAGCCAGUGUCACAAAGCCUCCUUCUGCAUCUACACAUCACGGACAGACCAGAUACAACACAAGACCUGAAAUCAAGCUUACAAUACCUACAGAAAGACGUAGAUGAACUUAAAAUCACCACAGCAAAACAGUCUAAACCAUGCAAUGCAAUACAGACUGACAUCAUGAAACUGUGCGAUAAUCUUCAGGUGAUUAUUGAUAAACAAGAGUAUCUGGAAGGUCAAUCAAGGAGAAAUAACAUUGUGAUUGAUGGUAUACCUGAAUCCCCUGGUAAAUCCUGGGCAGAUUCAGAGGUGAAAGUGAAAGAGAUUCUAAAACAGAAGCUACGGCUACAGCAUGAGAUUGAGGUGGAGCGUGCACACCGCACUGGUAAACCUGCAGCAGAUGGAGACCGACCCAGAUCUAUAGUGGUCAGGCUCCUGCGUUUUAAGGACAAAGCUGCGGUCCUGCAAAAGACUAAAAAUCUCAAAGGUACAAAAAUUUUCAUCAAUAAGGACUACACCGAUGCUUUGCGUUUAAAGGAAAAAAGAACUUGAUGCCUAAGUUGAGAGCUGCACAGGAAAGGGGAGACAUCGCCUACCUCAAGCCUUGAAUAACUCUGAAGGCAUACUCAUAUGCCAGACUCUCACCACUGGAUAGCUCAAACAUAUUUUCAUGACGGACACUAUAACAUUGUUGUGUCUGGGCUGUCCUCGAUGUGUAGAUGCAGAAGGAGGCUUCGUGACACUGGCUUGCUUGUAUAAGAGGAGUUUAUUAUAAAGACAAAACCAGUAUCAAUACAGCACUGCAGUUGCUGGGAGAGGACUGUCAAUGAUGUCCAGCUCUCCCAAACCAGAGUUUGUGACCCUGUUAUAUACAGUUAGGGAUGUAAGCCCUCCUACAUUCCUUCUUUGUCCCCAAGAUAUCUUUCCUUACCAUCUGGUGUUUGGUUAACCUAGAGUGGUGUUUUAUGACCUGUGCCCUGUGACCUGUGAAGUGCCCCUUCCAGGAUAUCUCACCCUAAGUGUCACUAAUGAUAAACACAGGAAAACACAAAUCCACAUUCCACAAUUGGUCCUCAGGCUACUCCUGAAAAAUACCUUAAGGCAAUGCAUAUUGAUGUAGUACUCCAGAUACCACAACAUCACAUCACAAAUUACCAAAAAAAGGAGUACGAAUUGCGCAUAUUAACAUAAAUAGUCUCAGAAACAAAAUGAAUGAAGUUACGUCUCUAUUAUCUAAACAUAAAUUGCAUACACUUGCCAUCUCAGAGACUCACCUGGACUCGUCCGUUGAGGAUACUGAACUGUAUAUUAAAGACAACAAUAUUUUCAGAAAUGAUAGUAAAAGAUAUGGUGGGGGAGUGGCUUUUUAUAUUAUGAAUCACUUGCCAGUAAGAGUAAAGGUCCUUACACACCGGGCGAGAAUUCGCCAGGCGAAUUAUUCGCCUUUUUUUAAAACAGCAUAAAGUCAAUGCAAGCUUCCACACCGGCGGCGAUUUUUCCGCGGGGCGAAAAGCCGCUUUUAUUUUUUCGCUCCUGUGUCGAAUUUUUCGGCGAAUAUCUGGACCUGCUAGACCUCUGGCCAAUCAAAAGUCAUGUUGUUGAUGACGUCACAGACCCAUACGGCUGGAGGAGAGGGAGAAGUUUGAGAUUAUGAAAACGCAGACAAAGACAGCUGAGGUGCAUCCAAAACUCUGUCGAAUUACUAAUGAAGUAGUUUUCUCACAAGAUGACACUCUCUUCUCUUCCUUAGGAGACAGAUGUCAAGCACACUUCACAGGGUGACCGCCUCAUCAUGCCUGAUUCUCCCUCUCAGCUGUUUGACAUACCGAUGAUCUGCAGCUACAGGGCCAACAGAAUGACCAGACAACUUGAA